RNAcentral lists this ribosomal RNA (887 nucleotides) under Arthrobotrys flagrans. RNAcentral's name for it is "LSU rRNA". It matches the Rfam family "Eukaryotic large subunit ribosomal RNA", at positions 51 to 959 of the family's 3401-position model. Lineage: Eukaryota; Fungi; Ascomycota; Orbiliomycetes; Orbiliales; Orbiliaceae. The record is from RNAcentral.
CGGGGAAAAGAAACCAACAGGGAUUGCCUCAGUAACGGCGAGUGAAGCGGCAACAGCUCAAAUUUGAAAUCUGGAGCCUUCGGCUUCCGAGUUGUAAUUUGAAGAGGAUGUUUCGGUGCGACCUGGGCCUAAGUUCCUUGGAACAGGACGUCAUGGAGGGUGAGAAUCCCGUACAUGGCUGCAGGUUUGCUUCUAUGUGAAACUCCUUCGAAGAGUCGAGUUGUUUGGGAAUGCAGCUCAAAAUGGGUGGUAAAUUUCAUCUAAAGCUAAAUAUUGGCGGGAGACCGAUAGCGCACAAGUAGAGUGAUCGAAAGAUGAAAAGCACUUUGAAAAGAGAGUUAAACAGUACGUGAAAUUGUUGAAAGGGAAGCGCUUGCAAUCAGACUCGCCUUCAGCUGAUCAGCCUUCCUUCUGGUUGGUGCACUCUGCUGUUGGCGGGCCAGCAUCAGUUGGGGCGGUGGGACAAAGGCGGCAGGAAUGUGGCUCGCUUCGGCGAGCGUUAUAGCCUGCUGCGCCAUGCCACCAGUCCCGACUGAGGUCCGCGGUUCGCCUAGGAUGCUGGCUUAAUGGUUGUAAGCGACCCGUCUUGAAACACGGACCAAGGAGUCUAACAUCUAUGCGAGUCUUUGGGUGUAAAACCCAUGGGCGGAAUGAAAGUGAACGGAGGUGGGAGUCUUCGGAUGCACCAUCGACCGAUCCUGAUGUUCUCGGAUGGAUUUGAGUAUGAGCAUAGCUGUUGGGACCCGAAAGAUGGUGAACUAUGCCUGAAUAGGGUGAAGCCAGAGGAAACUCUGGUGGAGGCUCGCAGCGGUUCUGACGUGCAAAUCGAUCGUCAAAUUUGGGUAUAGGGGCGAAAGACUAAUCGAACCAUCUAGUAGCUGGUUCCU